GGAAUAUUGGACAAUGGGGGAAACCCUGAUCCAGCCAUGCCGCGUGUGUGAAGAAGGCCUUUUGGUUGUAAAGCACUUUAAGCAGUGAAGAAGACUCCGUGGUUAAUACCCACGGACGAUGACAUUAGCUGCAGAAUAAGCACCGGCUAACUCUGUGCCAGCAGCCGCGGUAAUACAGAGGGUGCAAGCGUUAAUCGGAAUUACUGGGCGUAAAGGGAGCGUAGGUGGCUCGAUAAGUCAGAUGUGAAAUCCCCGGGCUCAACCUGGGAACUGCAUCUGAUACUGUUGAGCUAGAGUAUGUGAGAGGAAGGUAGAAUUCCAGGUGUAGCGGUGAAAUGCGUAGAGAUCUGGAGGAAUACCGAUGGCGAAGGCAGCCUUCUGGCAUAAUACUGACACUGAGGCUCGAAAGCGUGGGUAGCAAACAGGAUUAGAUACCCGGG
Molecule: ribosomal RNA, 440 nt
Filed under: uncultured Psychrobacter sp.
Lineage: Bacteria; Pseudomonadati; Pseudomonadota; Gammaproteobacteria; Moraxellales; Moraxellaceae
Description: bacterial SSU rRNA
Rfam family: Bacterial small subunit ribosomal RNA
Source: RNAcentral